Molecule: ribosomal RNA, 412 nt
Filed under: uncultured Parabacteroides sp.
Lineage: Bacteria; Pseudomonadati; Bacteroidota; Bacteroidia; Bacteroidales; Tannerellaceae
Description: bacterial SSU rRNA
Rfam family: Bacterial small subunit ribosomal RNA
Source: RNAcentral
UGAGGGAAUAUUGGGUCAAUGGGCGAGAGCCUGAACCAGCCAAGUCGCGUGAAGGAUGAAGGUUCUAUGGAUUGUAAACUUCUUUUAUUCGAGGGUAAAGUGAGGUAUGUAUACCUUAUUGCAAGUAUCGAAUGAAUAAGCAUCGGCUAACUCCGUGCCAGCAGCCGCGGUAAUACGGAGGAUGCGAGCGUUAUCCGGAUUUAUUGGGUUUAAAGGGUGCGCAGGCGGCGCGCCAAGUCAGCGGUCAAAGUUCCGGGCUCAACCCGGUGUCGCCGUUGAAACUGGCGUGCUCGAGUGCGUGCGAGGAAGGCGGAAUGCGUUGUGUAGCGGUGAAAUGCAUAGAUAUGACGCAGAACUCCGAUUGCGAAGGCAGCUUUCCAGCGCGCUACUGACGCUGAGGCACGAAGCGUGG